RNAcentral lists this ribosomal RNA (625 nucleotides) under Otidea oregonensis. Its description in RNAcentral is "eukaryotic LSU rRNA". The stretch from base 240 to 393 matches the Rfam family "5.8S ribosomal RNA". Lineage: Eukaryota; Fungi; Ascomycota; Pezizomycetes; Pezizales; Pyronemataceae. The record is from RNAcentral.
AAGGUUUCCGUAGGUGAACCUGCGGAAGGAUCAUUAGAAGAAUAUGUACCAAGCUUUAUCGAGAGUUCGGAGUUACAGUUCAAACACACCCUGCGUACCCUUCCUGUUGCUUCCGCGGUUGGGGGCUUGUCACUGACAGUCCUAGCUGACCAAGAAGGUUGGCUUCCGUGAAAGAUAUUUUACAAACUAUUUGCAUUUGUCUUGCCUUCUGUCUGAAUCAUGUUUAUAACAAAUGUUAAAACUUUCAACAACGGAUCUCUUGGUUCUCGCAUCGAUGAAGAACGCAGCGAAAUGCGAUAAGUAGUGUGAAUUGCAGAAUUCAGUGAAUCAUCGAAUCUUUGAACGCACAUUGCGCCUCCUGGUAUUCCGGGAGGCAUGCCUGUCCGCGCACAAAAUGGCUCAUUCAGGGUGACCAGGGUUGCUUUGGUACUGAAGGUCGAAUGUUGCUCAUAUGUUUGUUCGUCUUUAAAAUUUACAGGCGGGCGACUUCAAGUCCUUUCAUAGCGUUGUAAGUUAACUCUUUCGCUUAGGACUUGGUGGCUUGUCCAGCCUCGAAACCUCCAAUUACCCAGUGGAUGGUCGCGGAUCAGGUAGGGAUACCCGCUGAACUUAAGCAUAUCAAUAA